Molecule: transfer RNA, 73 nt
Filed under: Metschnikowia bicuspidata
Lineage: Eukaryota; Fungi; Ascomycota; Pichiomycetes; Serinales; Metschnikowiaceae
Rfam family: tRNA
About the family: Transfer RNA (tRNA) molecules are approximately 80 nucleotides in length. Their secondary structure includes four short double-helical elements and three loops (D, anti-codon, and T loops).
Source: Rfam by way of RNAcentral
GCGGUUUUAGCUCAGUUGAGAGAGCGUCAGACUGAAGAUCAGGAGGUCCUAUGUUCGAUCCACAGAAAUCGCA